AUUGAACGCUGGCGGCAUGCGUUACACAUGCAAGUCGAACGGUAACAGGUCUUCGGAUGCUGACGAGUGGCGAACGGGUGAGUAAUACAUCGGAACGUGCCCGAUCGUGGGGGAUAACGAGGCGAAAGCUUUGCUAAUACCGCAUACGAUCUACGGAUGAAAGCGGGGGAUCUUCGGACCUCGCGCGGACGGAGCGGCCGAUGGCAGAUUAGGUAGUUGGUGGGAUAAAAGCUUACCAAGCCGACGAUCUGUAGCUGGUCUGAGAGGAUGAUCAGCCACACUGGGACUGAGACACGGCCCAGACUCCUACGGGAGGCAGCAGUGGGGAAUUUUGGACAAUGGGCGAAAGCCUGAUCCAGCCAUGCCGCGUGCAGGAUGAAGGCCUUCGGGUUGUAAACUGCUUUUGUACGGAACGAAAAGCCUCUUUCUAAUAAAGAGGGGUCAUGACGGUACCGUAAGAAUAAGCACCGGCUAACUACGUG
This 482-nucleotide ribosomal RNA is filed under the name uncultured bacterium. RNAcentral's name for it is "partial 16S ribosomal RNA". It matches the Rfam family "Bacterial small subunit ribosomal RNA", at positions 30 to 507 of the family's 1533-position model. The record is from RNAcentral.